GGUGGUAUAGCCAAGUGGUAAGGCAGAGGUCUGCAAAACCUCCACUCCCCAGUUCGAAUCUGGGUACCACCU
This 72-nucleotide transfer RNA is filed under the name Synechococcus sp. RNAcentral's name for it is "tRNA-Cys". It matches the Rfam family "tRNA". Rfam says of the family: Transfer RNA (tRNA) molecules are approximately 80 nucleotides in length. RNAcentral also lists the same sequence under 10 other names. Lineage: Bacteria; Bacillati; Cyanobacteriota; Cyanophyceae; Synechococcales; Synechococcaceae. The record is from RNAcentral.